RNAcentral lists this ribosomal RNA (433 nucleotides) under uncultured bacterium. RNAcentral describes it as "partial 16S ribosomal RNA". It matches the Rfam family "Bacterial small subunit ribosomal RNA", at positions 29 to 507 of the family's 1533-position model. The record is from RNAcentral.
AACGAACGCUGGCGGCAUGCCUAACACAUGCAAGUCGAACGAGACCUUCGGGUCUAUUGGCGCACGGGUGCGUAACGCGUGGGAACCUGCACUUAGGUUCGGCAUAACUCUCCGAAAGGGGUGCUAAUACCGGAUAAUGUCUUCGGACCAAAGAUUUAUCGCCUUUGGAUGGGCCCGCGUUGGAUUCGCUAGUUGGUAGGGUAAAAGCUUACCAAGGCGACGAUCCAUAGCUGGUUUGAGAGGAUGAUCAGCAACACUGGGACUGAGACGCGGCCCAGACUCCUACGGGAGGCAGCAGUGGGGAAUAUUGGACAAUGGGCGAAAGCCUGAUCCAGCAAUGACGCGUGAGUGAUGAAGGCCUUAGAGUUGUAAAGCGCUUUUACCCGGGAUGAUAAUGACAGUACCGGGAGAAUAAGCUCCGGCUAACUCCGUG